UACGGAGGGAGCUAGCGUUGUUCGGAAUUACUGGGCGUAAAGCGUACGUAGGCGGUUACUCAAGUCAGAGGUGAAAGCCCGGGGCUCAACCCCGGAACUGCCUUUGAAACUAGGUAGCUAGAAUCUUGGAGAGGUCAGUGGAAUUCCGAGUGUAGAGGUGAAAUUCGUAGAUAUUCGGAAGAACACCAGUGGCGAAGGCGACUGACUGGACAAGUAUUGACGCUGAUGUACGAAAGCGUGGGGAGCAAACAGG
This 253-nucleotide ribosomal RNA is filed under the name uncultured bacterium. RNAcentral describes it as "partial 16S ribosomal RNA". It matches the Rfam family "Bacterial small subunit ribosomal RNA", at positions 524 to 776 of the family's 1533-position model. The record is from RNAcentral.